This 460-nucleotide ribosomal RNA is filed under the name uncultured bacterium. RNAcentral's name for it is "partial 16S ribosomal RNA". It matches the Rfam family "Bacterial small subunit ribosomal RNA", at positions 338 to 795 of the family's 1533-position model. The record is from RNAcentral.
CCUACGGGAGGCUGCAGUGAGGAAUAUUGGUCAAUGGACGAGAGUCUGAACCAGCCAAGUAGCGUGAAGGAUGACUGCCCUAUGGGUUGUAAACUUCUUUUAUAAAGGAAUAAAACGAGGCACGUGUGCCUUUUUGCAUGUACUUUAUGAAUAAGGAUCGGCUAACUCCGUGCCAGCAGCCGCGGUAAUACGGAGGAUCCGAGCGUUAUCCGGAUUUAUUGGGUUUAAAGGGAGCGUAGAUGGGUUGUUAAGUCAGUGGUGAAAGUUUGCGGCUCAACCGUAAAAUUGCAAUUGAUACUGGCAGUCGUGAGUACAGUUGAGGUAGGCGGAAUUCGUGGUGUAGCGGUGAAAUGCUUAGAUAUCACGAAGAACCCCGAUUGCGAAGGCAGCUUACUAAACUGUGACUGACAUUGAUGCUCGAAAGUGUGGGUAUCAAACAGGAUUAGAUACCCCGGUAGUC